CCCGGGCGGUCGUCGGCGGCAUUCAUGCCGCGGGAGGAAAGUCCGGACUCCAGAGGGCGCCGUAGGAGGUAACACCUCUCCGCCGCAAGGCGCGGAUCAGAGCAACAGAGACGAGCCGGCUUCGGGCCGGGUGAAACGGGCAAUCUCUACGGGGAGCAACAUCAAAUAGGCAGCCGAUGGACCGGCCCGGUCCGGCUGCGGGUAGAUGGCUUGAGGCGGCGCGCGAGCGUCGUCCUAGACGAAUGGCCGCCGGCAGGGCUUUCGGGCCUUUGCCGACAGAAUCCGGCUUACACGGGAGCU
Molecule: RNase P RNA, 300 nt
Filed under: Sutterella faecalis
Lineage: Bacteria; Pseudomonadati; Pseudomonadota; Betaproteobacteria; Burkholderiales; Sutterellaceae
Description: Bacterial RNase P class A
Rfam family: Bacterial RNase P class A
About the family: Ribonuclease P (RNase P) is a ubiquitous endoribonuclease, found in archaea, bacteria and eukarya as well as chloroplasts and mitochondria.
Source: RNAcentral